UGUGUGUGUGCAUGCUUGUUUGUGUGUGUGUGUGUGUGUGUGUGUGUGUGUGUGUGCAUGCUUGUUUGUGUGUGUGUGUGUGUGUGUGCGUGCUGUUUCAUUCCUCUGCUCUUACUGAGGUGAGGUCAUGGCGUCUGCCCUCUGAUGCUUUACCAACAAGCUGCUCCCUGAUUGGCUGGAAGGUGUUUGAGCUGACCGACUACACCGGCUGACCCAGGCUUGAGUCUGUUCUGAUCACGGCGCCUCUGCGACGGUUCCUCCGUGACUCGGCUGAACUCCGAUCUCCGACCAAGUCAUUUCCUGAUGAUCUCAUUGAUUUUUGCCUCCAGUUCCUCAUCUGUGAAUGUUUCAGUCGGGCCUCCACAGACUUCCACGCACUCAAACCCACCGGAUCACAGUCUGGAAUUGUGGUGCCACUCAUCUUUAACUUUGGGCUAGAACCAGAUUAGUCACGUGUUCCGUCAGAGAACCUCUGACACAAAUGAAGCCCAGGCAACCUCCUGAUAAAAAUGGACAGAGUCUCAGCUACACACUGAUCUAAGAUAUGAGGCUGAAGAUGUAAGAAACGUCUGGAACAUCGGAACGCUGAAGCAAGAGCUCCUGAUGAGGUUUUCACCACAACAUCUCAUGGUCUGUAAGAAUCCGCUCUCUGGAGAGAACAGACACGCGUUAGCGUUUCCCACCAUGUUCUUAAAGCAGGGCGCCCGUUUACGGGUGCAGUUUAUCCAAGUUCGUUACGGAAUUCCUCAAACGUCGGCACAGCCACAAGCUCCUCCGUUUUCCUGCAAUGCUUCACACAAACGACUGGCCGAGAAACAAGAACAGGGAUUUUAUAAAGCCUGGACAGGAUUUUGAGAAUCCUGAACUCUGCAGCAAAUUCCAGUUUGUUUGUCUUUGUUUCUCCUUCUAAAGAUUUCCAGUCUGAAACUUUCCACAAAUGUCUUCACAGAUCUGAGACUCGAUGUGUUUUCCAGCUCUCUCUUCCAAUCUGAGUUUAAAGCAUUCAUGGAAAAUGUGAGUUUUUAGUCGACAGAUUUCUAAAAAAGUAUCUCCUACCAAAAAGUCUCAACCCCAACAGGAUGUUUACUCGAGUCUACUUCUUGUCUCUUUGUGGACGUGCACUCGGACUGCAGGGUGUCUCUGCAAAACAAUGCAGUGGAAAAUAUUCCUGGUGUUUGGAUGUUCUGCAGGUGGUUUUUCCGACAGUUUCAGCUCCACGGGCUGCUCCCACUUUAGUCAGAACAACUUUGACUGACUGGAAAAGACGGAAGAGAGAAACGUGCUGCUGAUGGUGCAGCUUGGUGCAGCAGGUCCGGAGAGCAGAAAGAGUCGUCUGACAGCUGCUGGACGUCGUGGAACAACUUCGGCUUCACACUUGAUAGAGUUAGUUUAGAGAAACUUGAGCUGAAGGACGUUCUGAGGUGUUCAAACUGAACUCUGACCUUUUUCAUCUCUUCCAGCCUCUCAGCUGUCAGAUCAACCAUGUGAUUUUCCAUCUUCUUGUGCAAAAACUUCCUCGUGGAUUUGGUGAAACUUAAAAUUACAAAUUGUUAGCAGCACGGAAGUCUUGGUUUUAAAGUUUCUGUUGGCUCAGGUGUCGGUCUACGCCGAUGACACCAAGACUUCUGUUGAAAACCUACAGAUUCUUUUAUUCACUCUUUUGUACGAAUGCUUUAUUAGAUUUAUUUAAAUGCGUGUUUGGAAUGAUUUAACCUGCAGGUCACUCCUUUGGUAAUCCUCCUCCUCCUCUUUGAAGCAUGCAUUAAAAAACUCCCUAAAGUGAGGAUUUCUGAACGUGGAGACGUUUGUGACACAAGCCAACAUGAUGAGUUUUCAUCAUUAUUUUCAUAGUUGGAACAUUCCUUUUGCAUCAUUAAUAUUUUACAUUAAAUGAGAACCAUUUUGCCUUGAAUGAAUAAAUAAAUACAAAAACACAGGCCUGCUCUUGUUGUGGAAGUUAAGGUGUUGACCAGUGGCGGCUGGCCAGUAGAGGGCGAUAGGGCGCCGCCCUCCCAGUUUCCCCUGUGUUUUUAAUUUUUAUUUUAAAAAAUAAAUAAAUAAAAUUAACAAUAAUCACAUAUUCUAAGUUAAUUGUGUGUUUUGUAACCAAAAUAAAUCAUAUAUGUAUAUAUCUAUAUUGGUCUCUGCCGGUCUCUGCCGGUCUCUGCCAAGCGGUGGAGGCUGUGUGCUGUUUUUCAAUCACCCAAACAGGACGGGACCAGCUGUCCAAUUGCUGACAAGAAAAUCAAAGGGUAGGAAUGGGAAUGUAUCCAAUCAGCGUCGACGUUGUUUCAGAACGUUUCAGAAGCAUAAUGGGCGAUAGAGCUACCGCCAAGGCUUUCGUUGAUGUUCGGUAGAACUCGGAGAGUCUCGACUCCAGCACGUUUUGACGGUCGUGACGCAGACGUAGACAGUGCGCCUACAACAUGGAUACCGGAUCUCAGCAGCCACUGAAUUCAGUUCGGUCUCUUCUCCAGUAUCCGUUCGAGAGGAGAACUAUGGUGGAAAAACUUAAUGUCAAAGAGCUUGGACCAGAUCAGCCCGACGUAAAGAUAAGCCAGCAGGAGGAGGAGAGAGGUAAACUGUACACACGACGCUUCUCCCAAAAUUGGUACACCAGGAAGCAGUGGCUAGCUGGAUGCAAUCACGCUAAUGCGUUAUUUUGCUUUCCGUGUUUGUUAUUCAAAACGGCUGGGACAGAUAAGGCAUGGAUGAGUCAGGAGUUACAGACAUGAAACAUUUUUCUGAGAAGGUGAAGAAACACGAGUCAUCCCGGCCACACAUGGACAACAACACGGUGAAGCUAGCCAUGCUAGGCAGCAGAGCUAACGUUGCCAUGCAGGGGAACAACAGCAGCUGGGUGCAGAGAUCAGCAGAAAUCAGAGGCGCUGAGCGGCUCCAGCCUGCAGAAACGCCGAGUCUCCGAGACAAGCUCAAGCACAUCCCUUCAUCAUCCCUCCACUCCUCCGCAGGUCCUCCUCUCGGUCCAACUUGUCCCCCUGGUUUCCCCUGAUCCUCGACUCGUCCUGCAGGUUUCGCCUCUGAUCCUGAAGGAAGAGACGUGGGAAAACUGACACCUCUUCCCGGGAGCGUGUCUGGAUCCAGGUGGGUUUCGGAUCAACCGGUUUCUCCGCAGCAGAACUGCAGAUCAGGGCGGGGGGGCUUUUAAAACAGGAAGAAUUCAUUUAUUUAUUUUUAAAACCUUCUUUUAAAAGAUUUGUAAAAAUAAAUAUAAACAGUUUUGUUGACAACGCCUGCCAGACUGUCCUGGGUGCUGUGGCGUCGUUUAGGAAGCCAACAGCCCGGCCUGAUCCGUGCUGUCAGAAGUUCUGCUGCAGGAAAUGGAAGAAAGAUAAACCAUUAGUCAUUGGAGCGCCGCCAAAGAGGCAAAAACGUUCAUUUGUGAAGGUUUUCCAGGUGAAUUGUCAGAAUCCAUGUUUUAUAUAAAGCCUGGGCUGCAUGGUGGCGCAGUGGUUAGCACUGUUGCCUCGCAGCACGAAGGUUGCAGGUUCGAAGCUCGGCUGCGGCCUUUCUGCGUGGAGUUGCGUGUUCUCCCCAUGCAUGUGUGGGUUUCCUCCGGGUACUCCGGUUUCCCCCGCAGAUCCCAACAUGCCCUAUAGGUUAUAAAUUGUACGUUGCUUUGGAUAAAAGCGUCUGCUAAAUAAAUAAACAUAAACACAUUAAGCCUGCCGCAGACGAGAGCAAUCUGCUGAGCAAACAGCCUUGAAUGGCUGUUUGCUCAGCAGAUUGCUCGCUGUGCGCGCCUGAUUUUCACUGAGUUUUACGUCUCACGAGACGCCGAGCCGAAUAUCUGACCAGUCAGACAUUUCCCGCCUCACAGGGGGUAGAAAGUCGCCGUGUGCGCUCUACUGAGCUGCCGGCCGAGCUGAACUAUUCUAGUGGCCAAUCAAAGCGCGUUCUCCGCUCACAUGACCCCAAGAUGUAUUCGGCUGUGGCCCCCUGCCCUGUCUGCGUGUCUGAAAAAUAAACAAAACGGUGCCUUGUGGAUCGAUGGGCCCACUUUUUCCACUACCCAAUCGAAGGGCCUGGGCGGUGGUACUGUUGGAAGAAUUUUGGGUCUUCCAGGCACGUCUCUUGGAGUAAAUCGGCAUAAACUCCUUGCCUGGCCCAUCUUUCCAGCCACCGUACACUUACUUUGCUAACCUUGAAGUGCCGGAGGCGGCGACGCUUCAUCUCGCGUGUGCGGCAGGCUUAAGUAAACUGAGGUGCUAUUUGGCCCUCAGACCCCAGUUGUGAACCCACUUUGGAUAUGUGUGAGUGGUUUUUGCAUUUCUUCAUUAAUAAGAUAUCAGCGGCUUGAACUCACUUUCUCCCUACUUUACCUGACCCUCCUCCUCUCGGCUCGGCGGUUUCUCACUAGUGUGAGAAUGUUACUUGAGAUCAGUCACAGGAGGCAGUGGAUCACCUAAAGGUUCCCCCGUGGUGCCGUUCCUCCUCACUUCUUCAAGGAAACCAUUCACAUUGUGCCGUCCUCUGUUUGAACGUAAUUAAUGGCAGUCUUACCACCGAGUUGGUUCCCAAAGAGUUUAAACAUGCGGUCCUGACGCCACCUCUUCAGAAACCUGGGCCUGACACAGAUGUUUCAGACCAAUCUCCAGUCUUCUGUUUUGGAACAAAUAGUUUAUAAUCCGAUAAAUCUGCAUUUGACUGUGUCCAGGAAACCUUUCAAUCCGAUUUUAAAGCAAGACAAAGUACUGUGAUGUGAUGUUUAUUUGACAUGGACACAUCAAUUACAUUGGACGAACCAGAUGCAUUGUUUAGUGUGUUAGCACACGUGCUAAUUUGCAACACUUGUCCAUAGAACCUUUCUAAAAAGUAGAGUACAUUUAAAUAAAAUACAAAGAGAUAAACAAUAAAUUAAACAGAAAACAGAUUAAAAUUGCAAACAAUUUUCAAUAAAAAAGAAUAAAAAGAAUAAAACAAGGCAAUUUGAGCAGCAAUGUAAGACUUACUGAGACAGCCCUUUUAAGAGUUUAGAAGGAAAUGUUUUUAGCGUGUAACUCUGGUGACACCGUGGUUCUAAUCUUGCUAACUGCUGCGUUCAACACGGUGAACCACAACAUUUUAGUUUCUUGCUUGGAAAACUGCAUCGGGAUAAAAGGCGUGGCUUUGGAAUGGUUUAGGCCAUAUUUAAAGGACAGAACCUUUGGGUGAGUUUAGAGGAUUACGAGUCCUCUGUCCUUUGGGGCUCCACAGGGUUCCAUUCUGGGAUCACUCCUGUUUUUGUUGUCUUUGCUCCCUCUGGGUUUGAUGGUGUCUGCGCCUCGUUCUGCUGGUACCCCUCUUGUAGAUUUGGGUGAUUUGAGUCAAUGCCACAAGCAGGAAAUUAUAAACCUUGAUUUUAAUUUAGAUCCUGGCUUGAUAGCCAGAUCCAGUCAGAGUCAGCCGCUCUUCGUUUGAAACGACAAGUCAUGCUUUUGUGGCUACCCGUCUAGAUUACUGCAGUAUUUUGGGAUGAGUAGCUCAUUGAUUUAUUGAAUGCAGCAUAUUCAAAACUCAGCUGCACGUCUCUUGACAGGCGCUCACAAAUCCAAGCCCAUGACCCCUACGUGAGGUCACUACGCUGGCUACCUGUUCAAUACCAGAUCCAUUUUAAGCUGCUGCUAUGUUUCUAAAUGCUUGUCUGGUGUUGCUCCUGGUCUGCACCUUACUUCUUCACUCAGAGCAGCAGACCUUCUGCGUGUGCCCAGGACUCGAAAGAAGUGCAUCGGGGAUUGAGCUGUCGCAGUGGCACCUGAACUAUGAAGAAGAAGAAGAGGAAGAAAAUAUCACUUCUAUAGCGCCUCUCAAGACAAAAAUCACGAGGCGCUUCACAAAAACAAAAAAAUAUAAAAAUAUAAUGAAGAAUUUAGAAAAUGUUUAAAAAUAUAUUUAAAAUGAGCAAAAAUGGACAAUUGUGAUAAAAAAAAAUGUUAAGAAAGAGAGAGAGUGAACAGGAAAGAGGGAAAUCAGUGGAUCCUGAGGAAGGUGGGAUAGGUGGGGAGAGCAGAAUAAAGAGAGAGAGGUGAAGAAGGUCAUACAAAAGCCAGUUUGAACAAGUGAGUCUUCAGCUGCUUUUUAAAGGAGACCACUGAGUCCACUGAUCUCAGGCUCAGGGGGAGAGUCCCAGAGUCUGGGGGACACAGAAGCAAAUGAUCUGUCACCUUUGACCUUUAGCCUGGUGCUGCACAACCAGUAGGCUUUGAUCACUGGACCUCAGGGACCUGCUGGGGGUGUAGGGACUAAGAAGAUCACCAAUGUAAGAUGGUGCUUGUCCAUGUAAGGCCCUAUAGACCAGAACCAGGAUCUUGAAAUGAACCCUGAAGUUGACUGGCAGCCAGUGAAGCUGGAGGAGAAGCGGGGUGAUGUGGGUGUGUUUGGAGGACUUGGUCAGAAGCCGAGCACAGGCGUUCUGAACCACCUGUAGACGGUUCAGGGAGGUUCUGCUCAGACACGUGAAAAGAGAGUUACAGUAGUCUAAAGCCGGGCGGACUCUGUGCGACUUUUUCACUCGCAGCGUUCAGCUUCAGCUCAAACUGUACGACUUCCUCGCAGAGCAGAUCUCACGAGUCAUGUGCUCACACUGCACGACCCAGUUCUCGCAUGCGACCUGACUGCUCACACUGUACGUCUGGUAGCAACACGUCGGCCCUAAAAAUGUGCUAAAAAUAGCAGUUUUUACUCAACACGUCAGACUUUUUGUCUUGCCUGUUGUCCUUCGGGAGUGCUGCAGGAGGACACACAGGGAUUUAUGGGGGUUGGAUGAGGAAAACGAAAUAAAGAAAGUAAAUCUGUGUUUUGUGAUCAGUUUAAUUUGACAUGAACACGACAAACACGCUUUCUUGACAAUCUUUGUGAGUAAAAAAACGUGUAGAAACAAAAACGAACAGCGUGUGUUAUUAGGGAAAUAGCGGGUGAGCGGUGUUGAUGCAGGAUUGCGCAUGCGCCGUGAGCGGUUCUGAUACUUUUUGGAUCGUAGCUGCUCGCAGCUGCUCGCAGCGCCGCUUCAACAGUGCGAUACCCUCACGAGGGACGAGCGAAAUAUUAAACACACCAGAAGUCCCUGCGACCUCACGACUGCUGAUCGGCGGCUGGUCACGUGGUGUUAAUCGCCUCUCGUAACCCCCUGUACACUACACGACCGCUCGGCGCAAAACUCGCCCCGAUGUCGUGGCUUCUCGCACGACUGGAAAAUCGGCUCAAAAAAGUGAAAAAGUCGCACAGUGUACGCCCGGCUUAAGCGUGAGGAGAUGAAGGUGUGGAGAACUGUCUCAAGUUCAGAGCGGGACAGAAUGGGACUCAGCUUAGCAACGUUCCUGAGCUGGAAGAAGGACCUGACGGAAGGUUUGGUGUGGGAAGCAAGCUGACCAAGAGAGUCUCUGACUUUGGGAACCAGCUUGUCUGGGGCACAUAUGAGGAUCUCAGUCUUAUCUUCAUUCAGCUGAAGAAAGCUCCCACCAUCCAGGUUUUGAUAGAGUCUAAGCAGGUGUGGAACAGCUGCAGCUUAGACAUCUCAUGGGGCUUAAAGGAGAUGUACAGUUGGAUGUCAUCUGCAUAAAGAUGGUAGGAGAUUCCUUUGAAGGAGCUCAGGAUGUACUGAAGAGGAAGCAGAUAGGAGGAGGAAGAGCAGAGGCCCCAGCACAGAACCUUGUGGGACACCAUGGAACUAAGCACCACUGCACAUUAGACAGGCACCAUCUAUUUCUGAUUUUAAAUGGCUCUUAAAGACUCAUUUGUUCGCAGCGGCUUUUAAUACAGGAUGAGUUGUUGGCUUUGGGACUUUUUUCUGUAUUUUAUUUAUUCAUAGGAUUUUUGUUGCUUACAUUGUACCGCUUUGGUUAACUUAGUCGUGGGCAAAGAGCACUAUAGUUGAGUAUAAAUAAUGUUUGUGCUGUCCUUGCACAUUUCCUCCCUAAGGUGUCUUCCACCAACACCCACCGUGGGAGCAAGGCAGCUUCUCUGUGAGGUCAGAGACUCUGCAGACGUGUCUCCAGAUACGUUUUCGUUCUUCCUUUAGGAGAGCAUCAGCAGCCAUCACCGCAGCUUUUAUUCAGCCGUUGUUGCUUGCUGCUUAAUUAUCCUGCAGCGAGACUUUUAAUCUGCAGAGACAAAAACCAAAGCGUGUCUUCCUGCAGAAUCCUGACCAUGUGACUGGAUGCUUCCAGCUCUGAGAUCCGGCUGAUUUACUGCUUCCAGCUCAUUUUGCAGCAGCAGAAUUAGAAAUGAUUCUUCAUCGUUGCGAGCCACUUCCAGUUUCCCAGCAGUAAAGCGUCUCUCUGAUCUCCGCACAACAAACACCCAACUGCUGCAGAAACCGAACACCGCUGUAUGCGUUAGUGUGUGGGAGCCGGCUGGGUGCCCAGUAUCACAUGACCGGGCCAGGGAACGAGGAAGAGGAGGGAGGGGGAGUGUGAGAAAGAAGGAAGGGCGGGCGAGAGACAUAGACAGAGCUUGUGGGAAACAUGGGAGAGAGAGAGCGGGGCCUGGGAACAGACAGCAGGAGCGUCCCUCAGUCAUAAAUAUCUCACAGCUGACUGAGUUCACAGAACAAACUUUAUUCCUGCAGCCAGAUGAUCCAGAAGCAUCAGCAGCAGCAGGAGAGCCCUUCAGAACAAGAGCCUGCACAAUGAGUGGUGAAUCUUGUGUUUGCGGGCUGGGGUUUGAUUUUGUUCCCAGCACGUCGGGGCUGAUCCUUUAAGUGUCUCUAACGUUUUGGAUGAUCAGAGUUAAUGUGUGAGACCGUUUUAAGUGAGCUGGAGUUUAAAUAGAAAAACACUGACUGAUCCAUGGAAUUAUGUCUGUUUCAGAAUAAAAUACAUAAACAAGAAUUGAUCUUUUUUUAAAUUUUUUUUGCUGAAGUGAGCGUCAGUUUUUUAUUUAGAAAAAGUAAAAACCAAUAAAUAGGAAAAAGAGAGGAUUGUUUCGUCCACUGAAUUUGACUCAAGUCGUUUUGUUUUGAAAGAUGACGUUAAUGGUGGCAGCUUGAAGCACGUUGGAUCUUCUAACCAAGCCCCCACAAUGCGGGUCUGGAAUUGAGGCCAACGCUGAAGUGACAACAAUUGCAGUUCCACCCUCAUCCACUAGGGGAUGGUGUCAGAAGCGAGCAAAUCCUCAUUGACUCCCAUGUUAAAAAUACCAAUUUCACAGCAGAAAUAAACAUGUUUACAGCCUGGUACCAAAACAUGUUUUUGGUUUAAAUGAUCUAGUUUACACUCAUGACAACUCUGAGGGGGGUGAAUUUUUUUCUCACUCUUCUGUUUAAGUGUAUUAAAAGCCUAAAAUUCUGUAUAAUUAAUGAGCAUCAGACCCACGUGACCACAGAGCUAGCUCCGUGGAAAGGCCUCAGUAGAGCCUCGGCCUCGCCUGAAAACUGUUCGGUAAUUUUCAGCAUUUGUGUAUUCUUGUUUGGAUAUUAUUGUGCAAUUGUUGGACAAAAUGACUUGCUGUGGCAUUAAUUGCACUAAUAGAGCGUCCAAGGAGUCUCCACUUCAUUGUUUUCGGUAAGUAAAAUUAUAUUUAUGUAUUUAGGUCACUGCCGAGCUGAGCUUAGAUUUUAACAUGUACUGUUUAACCAUGACAUUUAAAUGUAAUAGGGUAAAACCCAGUGCAUUUAACAUAAUGCUGCACUUUAGAAAAUGGGUUGAAAUAUAACAUGUUGGUGGAGCUGGGUUCCCACUAUCGGCUUGUGGAGCUCUCGGAGACCUCUGUGUUCCACCCGGUUUUACCCAGCGGUCAGCCCGGCGUAUCUCUGACUCAGAAGCUCUGGUGUUGUGCACAGUUAACUCCGGUUGUAGCUAGGUUGCUACCUCUGUUAGCUUAGCUCCCACCUCUGCGUUAGCUUUGGGUUAGCUUCAGGUUAGCUUGUAGCUAGUUCGACCGGGUGUCGUCAGUUGAUCCCAGCCUUACAGCCCCACCCUCAGCUUCACCUCUCUUCCCUUUUAUGGAAUUGUCUGGGCUUGACGGAACCUGUGACACGGUCAAAAUGGCGGUGGUGGCCACCUCCCAUUUAUCUUCAAAAACGUGUUACUGGAGUCUAUGGAAACCCAUUGUCCAUAUGUGUAUAUGUCGAUGCUUCUAACAGAUCCCGGAGUUCCUAACCCAAACCAUAUUGUGUUAUUUAGACAUCUGUUGUUAGUUUUCUCUUAUUUGAAUGAAUUCAAACAUUUUUGUUCAUUUUCUGAUUUUAUUUUCUUUGUGCUCAGAACUCUGGGACAGAAUCAGAAACAAGCUAACAGCAUUUUUACUCUUUCAGCCCGUUAAAAAGCUGCUUUCUGAGGUUUUACUGUGAAGGCAGACACAUCUGGCUCCAGGUGUCAGGACUGACCCUUCCAGGUUAAUGUCACAAAUAAGUGGUGACCUACAUCCAUCCGGCCCAUCUGCACCUGUUUAGGUAAUAUAUGAACUUUCAGCCACUUCCUGCAUCUUAGCAGUUUUUUCACGCUGAAGCUUGAAACUCGAGCAGAAACAGGAUUUAAUUUUUCUGCUGAAGCUGUAUUUAUGCUUCCAUCUCCAACUCAUCAGGUUAGCAAACAUGCACACUGAGCUAACUCUGGUUCCGGUUCUGUGAUGAGCUUGAAGCUCGUUCUGGGUGAACCUGUGAGAUCUACGCUGCUAGAUGCUGCAAACAUGAGGAUUACCGAGUUUAGAGUUCAUCUGUUGGACUUGACACAGAUUAGCUGGGAAGGUCUGUGCCUUUGCUUCUUUACGGAGGUUUUAAAGCUUUUGUUUGAUUGUUUAAUGAUGGAAUCACUGUUGUUGAUGACUCUGCUGCUCCUGACUGGCUCCAACAGCAGCGUCAGGUUCAGAUCAAUCCAAACAGAAAGUCCAGCUGAUUUAAAUCUGACAUUCACUUCAUUUCAUCCAGUGUUUUCUC
This is a long non-coding RNA of Nothobranchius furzeri (turquoise killifish), 10873 nucleotides long. RefSeq lists it as uncharacterized. Lineage: Eukaryota; Metazoa; Chordata; Actinopteri; Cyprinodontiformes; Nothobranchiidae. The record is from RefSeq and is a predicted model, not a curated record.